Molecule: long non-coding RNA, 372 nt
Organism: Oncorhynchus kisutch (coho salmon)
Lineage: Eukaryota; Metazoa; Chordata; Actinopteri; Salmoniformes; Salmonidae
Exons: 2
Source: RefSeq, a predicted model, not a curated record
CGGUCCACUACUACUUAACACAUGUCUUCUGAUGGGGUAUCACAGACUGAUUCACUGCCGAUAUAGACAUUCCCUGCCUUGUAUAGCCAUGACCUUCUCAGGUGUCACCCAUUUUCCCCAUUAUCCCCUGGGUACGUAUACCUGUGUUCUCUGUUUGUCUGUUGCCAGUUUGUUUUGUUUCGUCAAGCCUACCAGUGGUUUUCCCUCUGUUCCUGUCUAUCGAUUCUUCCUGUUUUUCCCCAGUUUUUACCUUUUUUUGCCUGAGCCUGCUGACGUCCUGUACCAUUGCCCCACUACUCUGGAUUACUGACCUCAGCCUUGACCUGUCGUUUGCCUGCCCUGUUGCUGUAAUAAACUUGUUACUUCAACACA